Molecule: ribosomal RNA, 253 nt
Filed under: uncultured bacterium
Lineage: Bacteria
Description: partial 16S ribosomal RNA
Rfam family: Bacterial small subunit ribosomal RNA
Source: RNAcentral
UACGUAGGUGGCAAGCGUUGUUCGGAAUUACUGGGCGUAAAGCGCACGUAGGCGGAUAUUUAAGUCAGGGGUGAAAUCCCGGGGCUCAACCCCGGAACUGCCUUUGAUACUGGGUAUCUUGAGUAUGGAAGAGGUAAGUGGAAUUGCGAGUGUAGAGGUGAAAUUCGUAGAUAUUCGCAGGAACACCAGUGGCGAAGGCGGCUUACUGGUCCAUAACUGACGCUGAGGUGCGAAAGCGUGGGGAGCAAACAGG